Molecule: ribosomal RNA, 704 nt
Filed under: uncultured Amanita
Lineage: Eukaryota; Fungi; Basidiomycota; Agaricomycetes; Agaricales; Amanitaceae
Description: eukaryotic LSU rRNA
Rfam family: 5.8S ribosomal RNA (bases 269-422)
Source: RNAcentral
GAGGAAGUAAAAGUCGUAACAAGGUUUCCGUAGGUGAACCUGCGGAAGGAUCAUUAUUGAAAUAAAAAUUCAGGCCAGGGAAGAGGUGGUUGUAGCUGGCCUCUAGGGGCAUGUGCACACUUGUCUUUCUCUCUUGCUUGUUUUUUUCAUUCUCUCCACUUGUGCACUGCUUGUAGGCAGUCUGGCACUGUUCAGACUGUCUAUGAUUUUCUUUACAUACAUGAAUAUAUUGUUGUACAGAAUGUGAUAGUAAUAAAAAGAGUAAUACAACUUUCAACAACGGAUCUCUUGGCUCUCGCAUCGAUGAAGAACGCAGCGAAAUGCGAUAAGUAAUGUGAAUUGCAGAAUUCAGUGAAUCAUCGAAUCUUUGAACGCAUCUUGCGCUCCUUGGUAUUCCGAGGAGCAUGCCUGUUUGAGUGUCAUUAAAUUCUGUCAAAACAUGCACUUGAGUGUGUGUUUUGGAUUGUGGGAGUGUCUGCUGGCUUAUUCUAUAUAUGAGCCAGCUCUCCUGAAAAACAUUAGCUUUGGGGGGAUGUGCCAAGUCACUUCUGCCUUUCCAUUGGUGUGAUAGAUGAAUAAACUUAUCUACGCCAGGAAAGCAGGUUGCAGGUGAAGCACAGUGAUCUCUCUGCUCUCUAAUUGACAUUUGUCUGAUAACUUGACCUCAAAUCAGGUAGGACUACCCGCUGAACUUAAGCAUAUCA